GACGAACGCUGGCGGCGUGCUUAACACAUGCAAGUCGAACGGAAAGGCCCUGCUUUUGUGGGGUGCUCGAGUGGCGAACGGGUGAGUAACACGCGAGUAACCUGCCCUUGACUUUGGGAUAACCUCAGGAAACUGGGGCCAAUACCGGAUAGGUGCUCCUGCUGCAUGGUGGGGGUUGGAAAGUUUCGGCGGUUGGGGAUGGGGUCGGGGCUUAUCAGCUUGUUGGUGGGGUAGUGGCUUACCAAGGCUUUGACGGGUAGCCGGCCUGAGAGGGUGACCGGCCACAUUGGGACUGGGAUACGGCCCAGACUCCUACGGGAGGAAGCAGUGGAGAAUAGUGCGAGAUGGGCGGAAGCCGUAAGCAGGAACGCCGCGUGCGGGAUGACGGCCUUCGGGUUGUAAACCGCUUUCGCCUGUGACGAAGCGUGAGUGACGGUAAUGGGUAAAGAAGCACCGGCUAACUACGUG
RNAcentral lists this ribosomal RNA (468 nucleotides) under uncultured bacterium. RNAcentral describes it as "partial 16S ribosomal RNA". It matches the Rfam family "Bacterial small subunit ribosomal RNA", at positions 28 to 507 of the family's 1533-position model. The record is from RNAcentral.